UGUAAGUCGCUCUGGAUAAGAGCGUCUGCUAAAUGACUAAAAUGUAAAAAUGUAACUCUGGUUAUUAAUACCCAUGGGGUUAUUUUACAACACCGAGUGUUACAUUUAUUUAACUGCUGAAUCAACACUAGAAAUGUUACACUGAAAGAAAUAUCACUAGGUACAACUGGCCAAUUUGCAGUGUACCAUACCAUACACUGCUGAUUCACUCAUACUCUAUUCUCUUACUCUCUGCUCAAUAAAAUCACAGAAAAUACUAAAUGUAAAGACAGAAAUCAUGACAAAGAUAUAAACUAUGUCAGUACUGUAUAUGUAAAAUGAUUAAGGGUAUACCAGAUACAUGCACAAAUAUUCCCAGGUACAGUUUAAGACAUUCUCAGACCUAUCAUUUUAAACUUAUCAGAUUACUCAAACUCCUGAUGUUAAAGUUUAAACAGUGAGGUGAACACUAAUGCUCAGGCCCUAUUUAAAAGAAAGUGAAAACAAUUACAAUAAAAACACUACCGGUAUUUAGAUUCAGAAGGGUUCUAUGUAGAAUAUUGCCUUCCAAAGAAUCCCUCUUGCCUUCCAAAGAAUCAUCACAGAACCUUUUCUCCCCAAAAAGGUUUUUUCAGAUAAAAAUAGUUAUUGGUAGAACCCUAUCCAUCUGCAAAGAACCCAUUUUUUCUAUGUGUAAGAGUGUACAUGGCAGUCAUACACACUGAAAGUCAAGGGUAUGAAAUCAAUAGAUGAAGAAUAGCAAGGAUGAUAAUAAUGUAUGUUUUCACAACUUCAAUUCAGUGGCCUUUUUGAUUUCUUGUUGUUGUUCACAAAAGUGGAUCAUACUGAGAAGCAUAGGCCUACAGAUGUUGGAUCUUUAAUUUAAGCCAGUUUGCUACAGCAGGAAAAUAAUCCUGCAGCAACAGGAAAUGUGAAUUAUUAUAUGGAUUAUAAUUAAUAGACAUGUUUGUAGGGAUUUAUACAUUUUUCGCAAGGGAAAAUCAUGUCUGAAAUUUCAAAGUGGAAAUUACAAACUUCAGAAGCCAUUUUAAACCUCAAAUACACUACAAGUUUUACAUUUCCUGUAUUGCAGUAAAGUUCUCCUGCAACCGGGUGAUCAAAUUAAGAUCCCACAUGUGUACCUCCCACAAUGGCAAUGACUUAAGUACACAAUGGCCAGUGUGAGUGUAAACUUUGUACACCCAUGUGUGAACCUCCUGCGCAUGUAUAAAGAGCAGUGUGCAGCGUGGAACAGGACAGCCGAUAAUGUUGGGCUCGUUUGUUCUACUAUGGAUAGGCAUCUGCUUCCUCUUUUUCAUCCUGAAGAUUAAUCGAACCACAAACUUUCCUCCUGGUCCAAAACCCAUUCAGAUAUUUGGGAAUCUGCUGCAUCUGAGCUUGAGGAAUCCUUUGAAAGACCUGGAGAAGGUGCAGUUAUUAUACCUCAAAUAGCAUAACAACUCAUGAAAGAAUCAGCAGUGUCAGUGUAACUAUCAGUUACAUUAUUUGUUUCAAACAUUGUCAUUCCUUCAUCAAAGGGUGAUGUUAUCUUGUAUCACUUGUAAUCACAGUGUUACUGUGUUGUAUGCAAUGUGUCCUCAUGUGCUAUUUCCCAACUAGUUGGCAGAGCGCUAUGGGAAGGUUUUCAGUCUUUAUAUUGGUGGAAGGCCAGCUGUGAUUCUCAAUGGGCUUGAAGCUAUGAAGGAGGCCCUGGUUACCAAGGCUUUGGACUUUGCAAGAAGACCCCAAAACCUUAUGCUCAACCACUACACAAGGAAAAAGAAAUAACAACAAAAACUAUACUAUUGUUAGAAUCAACCAGAAACACAUUUAAUCAUUUAGAAAUUAUUCAUUUUUUAUGUACUGUGCAGAGCUCCUGAAACUACCCGCUGAUUAUAGUUUUAUUUUCUUCAAAAUCAUAUAAUGUAAGCUGCUCGUCAGAUUUUUAAAACCCCUCCCCAGGUUUCAUUAUUUCGAAAUACAGCUCAUGCUGGAGAGUGCAACGUCUCGUCGCCCUAAUGACCCUGAGAAACUUUGGUCUGGGAAGCAGUCUAUGGAGGAGAGGAUUCUGGAGGAGACAUCAUACAUCAUUGCACCCUUGGAGAAAAGUGUUGGGAAAACCAUGGACACUCAGACUAUCUUCCAUAAAUCUUCAUUCAAUAUCCUUUAUCUUGUACUAUUUGGGUCCCGCUAUGAAUAUGACGACAAGUUUCUUGAGUCUUCAUUCGUAUCUUCACUGAGAAUGCGAAGAUCACUAAUGGACCCUGGGCAUUGGUAUUAUACCAUUUUAAUAGGUUUAUCACUUAAUGUUAGUCAGACCUUGACUUAAAGGGAUACUUCACCCAAAUUACAAAAUUACAUAAUGGUUUCCUUACCCUGUAAUUAGUCUAUGGACAAGGUAAGUGAUAGAUGAAUUUGUAUGUUUAUGGUAAUGACUAAAAUUGUUCCACCCCGAUACAGUAUGACUGUGUAAACUGUGUUAAGGUAGUAAUAAACCCGCUAACAGAGAAGGGGGUUAGAAACUGCUGAGACAGACAUUCCAGGAGAAAGGAGACUUAGAAACUGUCCUAUUUAAAUAUUCUAUACUGUGGAAAUGUACAGGCCGCCUAAAGGUGGGCGGAGCAAAGUCCUUUGUGUGGACGUAUAUAAAAAGGCUGUGUGUGUUUUUGGCGCCAGAGCGCUCUCAUUGAAUAAAAAUGGCUGAUCCCUUGCA
Molecule: long non-coding RNA, 2692 nt
Organism: Coregonus clupeaformis (lake whitefish)
Lineage: Eukaryota; Metazoa; Chordata; Actinopteri; Salmoniformes; Salmonidae
Exons: 2
Source: RefSeq, a predicted model, not a curated record